Molecule: long non-coding RNA, 2749 nt
Organism: Amphiprion ocellaris (clown anemonefish)
Lineage: Eukaryota; Metazoa; Chordata; Actinopteri; Pomacentridae
Source: Ensembl
CAAAUAUCAGAUGUGAAAAAGGUCAGCUGUUAAGCAUCCACACCUGAUCUGAAUAAUCAACUAAUCAGAAACCAGGCAGCACACACAGCAGAAGCUGCUGAUUCUUCACAUAAGAAAAGCUCAGUCAUUCAACUAAAUGGACAUCAAACAGCAAAAUAGAGCACCUCUGGAGCCCAUCCGGGAAGAGUUAGAGCAAGAAGAUGAAACCGAAGAACGACAAGCAGGAGAAGAGACAGAGGAGGAUUUUCAAUUUCAAGAAGACACAGAGAAGGAACUGGCAGAAGAUAAGAGCGAAGAAGAAGAAGAUGAUGAUACUCUGUUGAGAAUUAUGAGACCUAGGCGGCUGUAUAGUUCCAUCAGCCAAGAGAAUAUCACUCAAACACAAUCUCCUAACAAUCAGCAGACAGAAAUGGAGAACUUUUUUGUGUCAGAUCAGAGCACACACACUGCAGAUUGGGGUGAUGAAGCUACACCAGCUGAACAGUCAGGGUUAGGAAAUGAGAAGAGGUCUAGUAGUGGGAAGCUGACAAUAAAGGUCACCAGGACUAGAUGGCAAGAACACACAUCACCUACACCACCGAAGCAGAAGAAAAGGCAAAGCUCCAAGACGUUGGUUGAGGGGCAGUUUCCGAAGUGGCUGGUGGACCUGAUGGUCAAUAUCGAAGAGGCAACAACCCAUGAACUCGUUAUUGAGUAACACUCAUCAUCACAUGUUGAUCAGGCCAAAUGAUGUAAUUGGUGAAUACUGAAUAUAGAACAAACUCGGCACGGCUAACAUGAACUAUUUCAGGUUGGCACUGCCAGAGAGUAAAGUCCGUGUGCAUGUUCUUGUUUUUUCUGCAGUUACAAGUAAAUAAGCAAAAUGUACCAGAAAAGUAAAAUAAGCCAUAAUACUGGUUGUGUUUGGGAAAAAAAUAAUUGCCCAGGCAAAACAUUUGUUCAAUAAUUCUGAGUAUAAUAUUUUUAGUUUAUAAUUUUUGUGCAAUAUUGGCAUUUAUCCCUGCUUCAGCCAGUAGUCCUGGAGCUGCUGCUGUUACGUGAUCCCUUUUACCUCUUUCUAAGUUGGUGUUCUUGAUCUGAAUGUUAGUGUAGAAUGCUGUUGGAGAGGCCGAAGCUCUCUCUAUAAGUGCAAUGUUUUACUGAAACAAUAGCGAUCACAUCUCCCCUGUUGCUUCAAAUUAGUUGGAGAGUUCAUCUUUGCAAGGAGCAGCACAUCCUUUACAAUUCAUAUGCCUGACUUGAUUGUGAUUUUAUUUUAAUGGCAUUUAUUUUGAAAGUAUGAAAGUACUUAUUAUUUAGGAAAAUGUGCCCUGUGAUUAUGUUGUUGUAUAGUAGGACUAUGGUAAAAAUUACUUAUUUACAGACAAUGUAUGUAGUGUUUCAAUGCCAUAAUUGGUCACAAUAGAACUGUAACUAAAACAUUAAAACUACUAACAGGAAAAGUGACUAACAGUGAUUGUCUCAUUACCCUGGCACCUGUGGAGAUGUGGAAUGUACAAGGUACUGCAAGUGAACAGUUGGAAAUUGAUGUUGGAAGGAGGAAAAACAGUGUGAGAGUGAGGAUCUAAGUGACUUUGACAAGGACUGAACUGUAAUAGCUAGAUGUCUUCGUCAGAGAAUCUCCAGAACAGCAGGACUUGUGGAGUGUUGGUAGAACCUACCACAAGAGGUCCAAAGGGGGUCAACCUCUGAACCAGCGACAGGGUCAUGGGUGCUUAAGCUCUCUGCUGCAUGUUGGGAGGGAAGACUGGCCCCUGUGACCUAAUUUGACAUGUUUGUUAUGAUAAAAGGGUGCAUUGCUCAUCGCUGCAUUUGAGUCUGCAUGACCGGUCAGAGUGUCCAUGCUGAACCCUGCUCACCACUGAAAACACCUACAGUGAGCACAUGAGUGUCACAAUAUGACCAUGGACCAAUGGAAGACAGUAGCCAGGUCUGAUAAUUAUGUGGAUGACUAGGCGCAUUUGUUUUAUUCAUCUGGGGAAGAGAUGGCAGCAGGAUACAAUAUGGGAAGAUGGUAGUUUUCCUGUGGUAGUGUGAUGAUCUGGCCUUCAUGUGGAUGUUACUUUGAUCCGUACCACCUACCUAAAUAUUGUUACAGACCACACAUUCCUCUUCAUGGCAACUUUAUUCCCUUAUGGCUUCUUUCAGCAGGAUAAUACCCACUGCCAUACUGCAAAUAUUGUUCAGGAAUGCUUAAGGAACACGAAGAUUCCAGGUGCUGAUUUGGCUUCCAAAGUCCGAAGAUCGCAAUCUGAUUGAGCAUCUGUGGGAUGUGCUGGAAAAACAAGUCCGAUCCAUGGAGGCCCCACCUCGCAAUUUAGAGAACUUAAAGGAUCUGCUGCUAACAUCUUGAUACCUUUACUACAGGACCCCUUCAGAAGUCUGUGGAGUUCAUGCUUUGAUGGGUCAAAGCUGUUUUGGUAGCAGAGGCAGGUUAUAAUUUUGUGGAUUCAGUGUACACUGCUGGCAGCUGAGAAUUUAUAUUUACCUUUGACAAUUCUCUGUUAUUUUUUGUGUUCAUUCUGCAAAGUACUGUAGCUACGUGUGUCAAAUAAAUGUUGUCAGAGUACAAUAUUUGUUUAUCAGCUGUUGGAAAGUAUAAGAAAAAUAGAAGACACUGGAAGUAUUCAGGCAGAGGACUUUAAGUUUGCCAGUUCAAAAUCAGUCACAGCCUCACUAUCAAAUGCAUAUAUAAAUAUUUCCCAUUAUGUUUCUCAUCAAGCUGUAACCCCAGAUCCUCAUCCAAGAU